Molecule: ribosomal RNA, 497 nt
Filed under: uncultured bacterium
Lineage: Bacteria
Description: partial 16S ribosomal RNA
Rfam family: Bacterial small subunit ribosomal RNA
Source: RNAcentral
GAUGAACGCUGGCGGCGUGCCUAAUACAUGCCAGUCGAGCGAACAGACGAGGAGCUUGCUCCUCUGACGUUAGCGGCGGACGGGUGAGUAACACGUGGAUAACCUACCUAUAAGACUGGGAUAACUUCGGGAAACCGGAGCUAAUACCGGAUAAUAUAUUGAACCGCAUGGUUCAAUAGUGAAAGACGGUUUUGCUGUCACUUAUAGAUGGAUCCGCGCCGCAUUAGCUAGUUGGUAAGGUAACCGCUUACCAAGGCAACGAUGCGUAGCCGACCUGAGAGGGUGAUCAGCCCCACUGGAACGGAGGCACGGUCCAGGCGCCUACGGGAGGCAGCAGUAGGCAAUCUUACGCAAUGGGCGGAAGCCGGGCGGAGCAACGCCGCGUCAGUAAUGAAGAUCUUCGGAUCGUAAAAAUCUGUUAUUAGGGAAGAACAAAUGUGUAAGUAACUAUGCACGUAUUGACGGUACCUAAUCAGAAAGCCACGGCUAACUACGAG